GACGAACGCUGGCGGCGUGCCUAACACAUGCAAGUCAGGGAGAAAGAGGUAGCAAUAUCUCGAGUAAACCGGCGAACGGGUGAGUAACACGUAGGUAACCUGCCCUCGAGUUGGGAAUAACUUCGAGAAAUCGAGGCUAAUACCGGAUAAUGCAACGAACCCGCAUGGGUUUGUUGUUAAAGUUCCGCGCAAGCGGAACGCUUGAGGAUGGACCUGCGGCCGAUUAGCUAGUUGGCGGAGAACAGCCCACCAAGGCGACGAUCGGUAGCCGACCUGAGAGGGUGACCGGCCACACUGGGACUGAGAUACGGCCCAGACUCCUACGGGAGGCAGCAGUGAGGAAUAUUGGUCAAUGGCCGAAAGGCUGAACCAGCAACGCCGCGUGAGGGAUGAAGAUCUAAGGAUCGUAAACCUCUGUUAGGAGGGACGAAGAGUCCAUCGUGAACGAUGGAAUUUGACGGUACCUCCAGAGAAACGCCCCGGNUAACUCCGUGCCAGCAGCCGCCGCAGUAA
RNAcentral lists this ribosomal RNA (513 nucleotides) under uncultured bacterium. RNAcentral describes it as "bacterial SSU rRNA". It matches the Rfam family "Bacterial small subunit ribosomal RNA", at positions 28 to 523 of the family's 1533-position model. The record is from RNAcentral.